GUUCGCAAGAGCACUGGGCACGGAGCCAUGAAGGGGGAGACGCAGCGAUGCGAGCGAACCCGGGUUACUGUGAAGAAAUUAGAGUGUUUAAAGCAGGCGUAGGCUUGAAUAUAUCAGCAUGGAAUAUGAGGGAUCUUUUCCUCAUUGGUGAAGGAAGAGAGUUGGUCAAAAGGUACAGUGGGGGGCAUUCGUAUUCUCUGGUCAGAGGUGAAAUUCUUAGAUUCAGAGAAGACGCACUGAGGCGUAAGCCUUUGCCAACGAUGUUACCGUUGAUCAAGAACGAAAGUUAGGGGAUCGAAGACGAUCAGAUACCGUCGUAGUCUUGACUAUAAACGAUGCCGACGCAGGAUCCGGUGGGGCGAGAGCUCAGCGGGGACUGUGGGAGAAAUCAGAGUGUUUGGGUUCUGGGGAGAAUAUGGUCGCAAGGC
This 428-nucleotide ribosomal RNA is filed under the name uncultured eukaryote. RNAcentral describes it as "bacterial SSU rRNA". It matches the Rfam family "Eukaryotic small subunit ribosomal RNA", at positions 727 to 1137 of the family's 1831-position model. The record is from RNAcentral.